GCAGCCGCGGUAAUUCCAGCUCCAAUAGCGUAUAUUAAAGUUGUUGUGGUUAAAAAGCUCGUAGUUGAACCUUGGGCCUGGCUGGCCGGUCCGCCUCACCGCGUGUACUGGUCCGGCCGGGCCUUUCCCUCUGUGGAACCCCAUGCCCUUCACUGGGCGUGGCGGGGAAACAGGACUUUUACUUUGAAAAAAUUAGAGUGCUCCAGGCAGGCCUAUGCUCGAAUACAUUAGCAUGGAAUAAUAGAAUAGGACGUGCGGUUCUAUUUUGUUGGUUUCUAGGACCGCCGUAAUGAUUAAUAGGGACAGUCGGGGGCAUCAGUAUUCAAUUGUCAGAGGUGAAAUUCUUGGAUCUAUUGAAGACUAACUACUGCGAAAGCAUUUGCCAAGGAUGUUUUCAUUAAUCAGGAACGAAAGUUAGGGGAUCGAAGACGAUCAGAUACCGUCGUAGUCUUAACCAUAAACUAUGCCGACUAGGGAUCGGACGAUGUUAUUUUUUGACUCGUUCGGCACCUUACGAGAAAUCAAAGUGCUUGGGCUCCAGGGGGAGUAUGGUCGCAAGGCUGAAACUUAAA
Molecule: ribosomal RNA, 572 nt
Filed under: Polycephalomyces sp. 1 RMK-2013
Lineage: Eukaryota; Fungi; Ascomycota; Sordariomycetes; Hypocreales; Polycephalomycetaceae
Description: SSU rRNA
Rfam family: Eukaryotic small subunit ribosomal RNA
Source: RNAcentral